GAUGAACGCUGGCGGCGUGCCUAAUACAUGCCAGUCGAGCGAACAGACGAGGAGCUUGCUCCUCUGACGUUAGCGGCGGACGGGUGAGUAACACGUGGAUAACCUACCUAUAAGACUGGGAUAACUUCGGGAAACCGGAGCUAAUACCGGAUAAUAUAUUGAACCGCAUGGUUCAAUAGUGAAAGACGGUUUUGCUGUCACUUAUAGAUGGAUCCGCGCCGCAUUAGCUAGUUGGUAAGGUAACGGCUUACCAAGGCAACGAUGCGUAGCCGACCUGAGAGGGUGAUCAGCCACACUGGAACUGAGACACGGUCCAGACUCCUACGGGAGGCAGCAGUAGGGAAUCUUCCGCAAUGGGCGAAAGCCUGACGGAGCAACGCCGCGUGAGUGAUGAAGGUCUUCGGAUCGUAAAACUCUGUUAUUAGGGAAGAACAAAUGUGUAAGUAACUACGCACGUCUUGACGGUACCUAAUCAGAAAGCCACGGCUAACUACGUG
RNAcentral lists this ribosomal RNA (497 nucleotides) under uncultured bacterium. RNAcentral describes it as "partial 16S ribosomal RNA". It matches the Rfam family "Bacterial small subunit ribosomal RNA", at positions 28 to 507 of the family's 1533-position model. The record is from RNAcentral.